This 77-nucleotide transfer RNA is filed under the name Methanolobus halotolerans. RNAcentral describes it as "Methanolobus sp. SY-01 tRNA-Val". It matches the Rfam family "tRNA". From Rfam's summary of the family: Transfer RNA (tRNA) molecules are approximately 80 nucleotides in length. Their secondary structure includes four short double-helical elements and three loops (D, anti-codon, and T loops). Lineage: Archaea; Methanobacteriati; Methanobacteriota; Methanomicrobia; Methanosarcinales; Methanosarcinaceae. The record is from RNAcentral.
GGGCUCGUGGUCUAGCUGGUUAUGACGUCGCCUUGACAUGGCGGAGGUCGGGUGUUCGAAUCUCCCCGGGCCCACCA